GAUGAACGCUGGCGGCGUGCCUAACACAUGCAAGUCGAGCGAACGGACCCUACGCUUGCUUCUUUCUUGUUAGCCGCGCACGUGUGUGUCACACGUGUAUCACCUGCCUAUCUUACUGGUAUAACUUCGAGACACCGGAUCUAACCCCGUAUGAUCUCUUGAACCAUAUUGUUCAUUAGUGAAAUUCGGCCUUUCGGGCUCUUAUCGCUGCUUCCCCGCUGCAUUAGCUAGUUGGUACGGUAACGGCUUAUCAAGGGAACGAGGCAUAGCCGACCUGCGAGGGUGAUCGGCCACACUGGAACUGAGACACGGUCCAGACUACUACGGGAGGUAGCAGUAGGGAAUCUUCCGCAAUGGGCGAAAGACUGACGGAGCAACGCCGCGUGAGUGAUGAAGGUCUUCGGAUCGUAAAACUCUGUUAUUAGGGAAGAACAUAUGUGUAAGUAACUGUGCACAUCUUGACGGUACCUAAUCAGAAAGCCACGGCUAACUACGUG
This 497-nucleotide ribosomal RNA is filed under the name uncultured bacterium. RNAcentral's name for it is "partial 16S ribosomal RNA". It matches the Rfam family "Bacterial small subunit ribosomal RNA", at positions 28 to 507 of the family's 1533-position model. The record is from RNAcentral.